Molecule: ribosomal RNA, 253 nt
Filed under: uncultured bacterium
Lineage: Bacteria
Description: partial 16S ribosomal RNA
Rfam family: Bacterial small subunit ribosomal RNA
Source: RNAcentral
CACGUAGGGCGCAAGCGUUGUCCGGAAUUAUUGGGCGUAAAGAGCUUGUAGGCGGUCUGUCGCGUCUGCUGUGAAAAUCCGGGGCUCAACCCCGGACUUGCAGUGGGUACGGGCAGACUAGAGUGCGGUAGGGGUGACUGGAAUUCCUGGUGUAGCGGUGGAAUGCGCAGAUAUCAGGAGGAACACCGAUGGCGAAGGCAGGUCACUGGGCCGCAACUGACGCUGAGGAGCGAAAGCAUGGGGAGCGAACAGG